This 76-nucleotide transfer RNA is filed under the name Candidatus Liberibacter americanus str. Sao Paulo. RNAcentral describes it as "tRNA-Lys (TTT) (tRNA-Lys-TTT-1-1)". It matches the Rfam family "tRNA". From Rfam's summary of the family: Transfer RNA (tRNA) molecules are approximately 80 nucleotides in length. Their secondary structure includes four short double-helical elements and three loops (D, anti-codon, and T loops). The record is from RNAcentral. RNAcentral also lists the same sequence under 1 other name. Lineage: Bacteria; Pseudomonadati; Pseudomonadota; Alphaproteobacteria; Hyphomicrobiales; Rhizobiaceae.
GAGCGCGUAGCUCAGAUGGUAGAGCAACUGACUUUUAAUCAGUGGGUCCUGGGUUCGAUCCCCAGCGCGCUCACCA